This 492-nucleotide ribosomal RNA is filed under the name uncultured bacterium. RNAcentral describes it as "partial 16S ribosomal RNA". It matches the Rfam family "Bacterial small subunit ribosomal RNA", at positions 29 to 507 of the family's 1533-position model. The record is from RNAcentral.
AGUGAACGCUGGCGGUAGGCCUAACACAUGCAAGUCGAACGGCAGCACAGUAAGAGCUUGCUCUUACGGGUGGCGAGUGGCGGACGGGUGAGGAAUACAUCGGAAUCUACUUUUUCGUGGGGGAUAACGUAGGGAAACUUACGCUAAUACCGCAUACGACCUACGGGUGAAAGCAGGGGAUCUUCGGACCUUGCGCGAUUGAAUGAGCCGAUGUCGGAUUAGCUAGUUGGCGGGGUAAAGGCCCACCAAGGCGACGAUCCGUAGCUGGUCUGAGAGGAUGAUCAGCCACACUGGAACUGAGACACGGUCCAGACUCCUACGGGAGGCAGCAGUGGGGAAUAUUGGACAAUGGGCGCGAGCCUGAUCCAGCCAUACCGCGUGGGUGAAGAAGGCCUUCGGGUUGUAAAGCCCUUUUGUUGGGAAAGAAAAGCAGCAGGUUAAUACCCCGCUGUUCUGACGGUACCCAAAGAAAAAGCACCGGCUAACUUCGUG